GGUGGCUCAGUGGUAGAGUGCUUGCUUUGAGUGCAUGAAGCCCUGGGUUCGAUUCCUCAGCACCA
RNAcentral lists this transfer RNA (65 nucleotides) under Dipodomys ordii (Ord's kangaroo rat). It matches the Rfam family "tRNA". Rfam says of the family: Transfer RNA (tRNA) molecules are approximately 80 nucleotides in length. Their secondary structure includes four short double-helical elements and three loops (D, anti-codon, and T loops). Further hydrogen bonds mediate the characteristic L-shaped molecular structure. tRNAs have two regions of fundamental functional importance: the anti-codon, which is responsible for specific mRNA codon recognition, and the 3' end, to which the tRNAs corresponding amino acid is attached (by aminoacyl-tRNA synthetases). tRNAs cope with the degeneracy of the genetic code in two manners: having more than one tRNA (with a specific anti-codon) for a particular amino acid; and 'wobble' base-pairing, i.e. permitting non-standard base-pairing at the 3rd anti-codon position. The record is from Rfam by way of RNAcentral. Lineage: Eukaryota; Metazoa; Chordata; Mammalia; Rodentia; Heteromyidae.